CGGAUGUAGCCAAGUGGCUCAAGGUUUUU
Molecule: transfer RNA, 29 nt
Filed under: Guettarda valenzuelana
Lineage: Eukaryota; Viridiplantae; Streptophyta; Magnoliopsida; Gentianales; Rubiaceae
Description: partial tRNA-His
Source: RNAcentral